Long non-coding RNA from Dermacentor andersoni, 592 nucleotides. RefSeq lists it as uncharacterized. NCBI's taxonomy places the organism in Eukaryota, Metazoa, Arthropoda, Arachnida, Ixodida, Ixodidae. The record is from RefSeq and is a predicted model, not a curated record.
GUCUGCAGCUGCGAUAGCUUGCGCUUCUGGAUAAUUGACGAGGGAGAAAAAAAAAGCGAGGACUGGAUUUCAGUGGGCCUAUGAGUUUGCAUACGUGUGCAGCUGGACGGUCAUAGCACAUGUCGGCGUUACCAAAAAAAAUAUCUCCCUUCGCUGGCACACAUCAUUACCACCGGUGUCUUAAUUAGAGACGGCUAGCUAUAUAACCAAAAACGCUUCGCGAGGUGUAGCCAUCGCUCAGCUGCUAGAGAAACAGUGAUCAAGAAAAAUGAAACGCCACGCAGCCUAUUGUGCAGCAGUCGGCUUAGCCUUUGCUGUCUUGCAUGCCGGUGUCUCUACACGCCAGGGAGAAGGACGCUUCCAUGUCUGCGAGGAGAAAACGGGAAUUAUGAAUAAUGCCAAAGCUACUGUGUUGGCGGCAAAAUUUUUGGAGAAGUGCUCUUUGCCACUUAUCGUGAAGUACAAUUUCAGCCCCAGGAUGAUACAUAUGGCAUCGAGAAAAUUGUGCGUCGUAUAUCGCUUCUGCCUUCACAAACACCAGCGCGUCCUUAAAGCAAGCGUAAGUAAACAACUGAUCAGAAACCGAACAUUA